UCGAGAAUCUUUCACAAUGGGGGCAACCCUGAUGGAGCGACGCCGCGUGGAGGAUAAGGUCUUCGGAUUGUAAACUCCUGUCAUGCGAGAGCAAAACAGCCGGGGUAACUCCCGGCUGCUUGAUCGUAUCGCAAGAGGAAGAGACGGCUAACUCUGUGCCAGCAGCCGCGGUAAUACAGAGGUCUCAAGCGUUGUUCGGAAUCACUGGGCGUAAAGGGUGCGUAGGCGGCGUGGAAAGUCAGAUGUGAAAUCCGCGGGCUCAACCCUCGAAUCGCAUCCGAAACUCCCAUGCUAGAGUACUGAAGGGGAGCUUGGAAUUCUCGGUGUAGCAGUGAAAUGCGUAGAUAUCGAAAAGAACGCUCGUGGCGAAGGCGAAGCUCUGGUCAGUAACUGACGCUGAGGCACGAAGGCCAGGGUAGCAAACGGGAUUAGAUACCCCCGUAGUCC
RNAcentral lists this ribosomal RNA (447 nucleotides) under uncultured bacterium. RNAcentral describes it as "bacterial SSU rRNA". It matches the Rfam family "Bacterial small subunit ribosomal RNA", at positions 355 to 796 of the family's 1533-position model. The record is from RNAcentral.